This 492-nucleotide ribosomal RNA is filed under the name uncultured bacterium. RNAcentral describes it as "partial 16S ribosomal RNA". It matches the Rfam family "Bacterial small subunit ribosomal RNA", at positions 29 to 507 of the family's 1533-position model. The record is from RNAcentral.
AGUGAACGCUGGCGGUAGGCCUAACACAUGCAAGUCGAACGGCAGCACAGUAAGAGCUUGCUCUUACGGGUGGCGAGUGGCGGACGGGUGAGGAAUACAUCGGAAUCUACUUUUUCGUGGGGGAUAACGUAGGGAAACUUACGCUAAUACCGCAUACGACCUACAGGUGAAAGCAGGGGAUCUUCGGACCUUGCGCGAUUGAAUGAGCCGAUGUCGGAUUAGCUAGUUGGCGGGGUAAAGGCCCACCAAGGCGACGAUCCGUAGCUGGUCUGAGAGGAUGAUCAGCCACACUGGAACUGAGACACGGUCCAGACUCCUACGGGAGGCAGCAGUGGGGAAUAUUGGACAAUGGGCGCAAGCCUGAUCCAGCCAUACCGCGUGGGUGAAGAAGGCCUUCGGGUUGUAAAGCCCUUUUGUUGGGAAAGAAAAGCAGGAGGUUAAUACCCCGCUGUUCUGACGGUACCCAAAGAAUAAGCACCGGCUAACUUCGUG